AUUGAACGCUGGCGGCAGGCCUAACACAUGCAAGUCGAGCGAGUGGCGGACGGGUGAGCAAUGUAUGGGGACUGGUCGAUUGAGGGGGAUAACUACUGGCAACGGUAGCUAAUACCGUAUACUAUCGGAUAACCCAUGUGGGAGUAGAUAGUAGGUGAGGUAAUGGCUCACCUGGGCGACGAUCCCUAGCUGGUCUGUGAGGGUGAUCAGCCACACUGGGACUGAUACACGGCCCGGACUCCUACGGAGGCAGCGGUGGGGGAUAUUGCCCAAUGGGCGCAAGCCUGAUGCAGCCAUGCCGCGUGUAUGAAGCAGGCCCUAGGGUUGUGAAGUACAUUCAGUCGGGGGGCGUUUCCGACAGAAGAAGCACCGGCUAACUCCGUGCAAGCAGCCGCGGUAAUAC
Molecule: ribosomal RNA, 403 nt
Filed under: uncultured bacterium
Lineage: Bacteria
Description: partial 16S ribosomal RNA
Rfam family: Bacterial small subunit ribosomal RNA
Source: RNAcentral